AUGGCAUAUCACAUCAUCAUAGUAAGACAGGACUCUACAUCCUAUCCUAGUGGACAUGACUUUUCCUAUUGUGCUUGACCUUCUAUAACCUCUAUGAGCCCGACACUCUAGGUCCGACCAUGUGAACCUAGGGCUCUGAUACCACUCUGGAAUGCCCCGGAAAUCCGGACCGCUACCGGCGCUAGGAUUCAGGUCGGCUUAAGGCCGCCGGAACCCGUAGCAAGCCUACAUACAUCCUGUUUACCUGUUUAAUCCCAUACAUGAUCAACAAACAUACAUAAGAAUUAAAAACUUUUCUUUUUCUUCAUACACCAAACUCAACCUGUGCAUGCACUGUAUUCAUCAUAUACAUAAACAUUAAUCCCUCUGUGGGAUUUCAUCAAAGCCUCAAUGGCAAUAUAUAUUCUGUGUUGAGUUGGUUCACAUAUACAUCAUAAAAUAAGAUCAUGUACAUACCAAGGGAUUAACAAAUACUAUGGUCAAGCACAACUCUAUCCUCAAUAACAUAAUUACAUAAACUUUACAUUACAUUCUUAUCAUUUGUCAUGUCCACAU
RNAcentral lists this long non-coding RNA (555 nucleotides) under Manihot esculenta (cassava). RNAcentral's name for it is "long non-coding RNA (MESC_LNC005977)". Lineage: Eukaryota; Viridiplantae; Streptophyta; Magnoliopsida; Malpighiales; Euphorbiaceae. The record is from RNAcentral.